RNA transcript from Nicotiana tabacum (common tobacco), 2012 nucleotides. RefSeq lists it as uncharacterized. Lineage: Eukaryota; Viridiplantae; Streptophyta; Magnoliopsida; Solanales; Solanaceae. The record is from RefSeq and is a predicted model, not a curated record.
UUCUACUAGAGUCUUGCGCAGCUUCUCGAACCAAAACUUCCAGAACCCAAUAUUUACAACCUGUCUUCCGCCACCAUUGACAAGAACCUUAAAAAGCUUGCUUCCAAGUAACAAUAAGAGAAGGUUGAUUGGAAAAUACAUUUGAUUAUUUUUAUUAGAGAAUGGCGGGGACUAAGGAACAGAUAAUGGAUGUUCGGUCUGUGGUGGAAGCAGUAACAGCCGCCGGAGAUGAUGUUGAGAUUGAUACUCCUCUUUAUGUUGUUGAAAGCCUCUGUAUGCGCUGUGGUGAAAAUGGUACAACAAGGUUUCUCUUAACACUGAUUCCACAUUUUAGAAAGAUAUUAUUGUCAGCAUUUGACUGCCCACAUUGUAGUGAAAGAAAUAAUGAAGUGGAGUUCGCUGGUGAAAUUCAGCCUCGAGGAUGUUGCUAUGGCUUGCAUAUUCCAUCAGGUGAUCAAAAGAUGCUCGACCGAACGGUUGUCAAAUCUGAAAGUGCUACCAUCAAGAUCCCUGAACUGGAUUUUGAGAUCCCCCCCGAGGCUCAGCGUGGAUCAUUGUCAACGGUAGAAGGCAUACUGGUUCGAGCUGCUGACGGUUUGGGGGCCCUUCAAGAUGAACGGAAGAAAGUGGAUCCCCAGAUGGCUGAAGCAAUAGAUCGGUUCUUGAUAAAACUGAGAGCUUGUGCUUCAGGAGAUUCAUCCUUUACUUUCAUUCUUGAUGAUCCUGCUGGUAACAGCUUUAUUGAGAACCCGUUAGCUCCAUCUCCUGAUCCCUCAUUGAAAAUCACAUUCUAUGAGCGAACUCCUGAGCAACAGGCAGCUUUAGGGUAUCUUGCCGACCCAUCACAGCUUGGAGGACAAAGUGAUGAGGUAUCAAGUGAGGGUAUAAAUAAUGUUCCUCAUCACCUGCUAAAGGAACCACAUGGAUCAGUUGGAGCAAGAGCAGGACGUCAGGCUAUUGCUCAGGGUAACAGUGCAGAAAUAGCUGAAGCUCUAUUUCGAUAUUCAGCUCCUGAAGAGGUGAUGAUGUUUCCAUCAACUUGUGGAGCAUGCGCUGCGAGGUGUGACUGUAGAAUGUUUGUUACCAAUAUUCCAUACUUUCAAGAAGUAAUAGUUAUGGCAUCCUCUUGUGAUGCUUGUGGUUAUCGCAACUCUGAGCUGAAACCUGGUGGUCCUAUAUCUGAUAAGGGAAAGAAAAUUACCCUUCAUGUGGAAAACAUUGAAGACUUAAGCCGUGAUGUGAUUAAGUCUGAUAGUGCUGGAGUGGAAAUUCCUGAGCUUGAGUUAGAGCUUGCUAGUGGCACUUUGGGUGGAAUGGUGACGACAGUUGAGGGUUUAAUCACAAAAAUUAACGAAAGUCUUGAGAGAGUACAUGGAUUCACAUUUGGAGACAGUCUUGAUGAAGACAGGAAGAGCAAGUGGUUGGACUUCCGAGCAAGACUAGACAAGCUUUUGAGCUUGGGACAACCGUGGACAUUGAUCAUCGACGAUGCACUUUCAAAUUCUUUUGUUGCACCUGCAACCGAUGAUAUCAAGGAUGACAAACAGUUAACAUUUGAAGAUUACGUAAGAUCGUGGGAGCAAAAUGAGGAGCUGGGUCUUAAUGACAUGGACACCACCUCAGCUGAUGCUGCUUACAGUUCAGCAGAUGCUGCACCCAGUGAGAAAGCUGACGAUUGAUGAAUUUAUGCUUAGUGAUUUUCUUUCAUACUGCUUUGGCCUUAAAAUCUAAGGUAAGCGUUGAUUGUUCUUUCAUAUGACUGUAGAAGAGAUCUAGAACCAUAAAAGAUUGCCAACGCCUGCAGCCAUGUCUACAUAGUGGCCUUGUGACUAGAACUCCUUUAAAUAGAGAGACAAACAUUUUAAUUAGCUAUACGGGUUCCUUUAAUCAAACACUUCAGAGUUAUUAACAAUGCAAUUUGUUUUAGAAGAUAGUUUGCAAUGCAAUGAUUUUUGACUUGUAAAAAAUAUUAAUUUUAAUUAAUGUUAAAAAAAUGACUUUUGAUACUGGAA